AACGCUGGCGGCGUGCCUAACACAUGCAAGUCGAACGAGAAAGUGGAGCAAUCCAUGAGUACAGUGGCGACCGGGUGAGUAACACGUGAUCAACCUACCCUCGAGUGGGGAAUAACUCCGGGAAACCGGAGCUAAUACCGCAUAACAUCAUCGGUCCACAUGAACUGAUGUUCAAAGGAGCAAUCCGCUUGAGGAGGGGGUCGCGGCUGAUUAGCUAGUUGGUAGGGUAAUGGCCUACCAAGGCUGAGAUCGGUAUCCGGCCUGAGAGGGCGCACGGACACACUGGAACUGAAACACGGUCCAGACUCCUACGGGAGGCAGCAGUGGGGAAUUUUGCGCAAUGGGGGAAACCCUGACGCAGCAACGCCGCGUGGAGGAUGAAGUCCCUUGGGACGUAAACUCCUUUCGACCCGGAAGAUACUGACGGUACGGGUGGAAGAA
This 441-nucleotide ribosomal RNA is filed under the name uncultured bacterium. RNAcentral describes it as "bacterial SSU rRNA". It matches the Rfam family "Bacterial small subunit ribosomal RNA", at positions 32 to 489 of the family's 1533-position model. The record is from RNAcentral.